AGUAGAGUCAGCUAAAUAAGCUAUCGGGCCCAUACCCCGAAAAUGUCACACAGGCCUCUACUA
RNAcentral lists this transfer RNA (63 nucleotides) under Plagiopholis styani. RNAcentral describes it as "tRNA-Met". The record is from RNAcentral. Lineage: Eukaryota; Metazoa; Chordata; Lepidosauria; Squamata; Colubridae.